CUACGGGGCGCACCAGUGGGGAAUAUUGCACAAUGGGCGCAAGCCUGAUGCAGCCAUGCCGCGUGUAUGAAGAAGGCCUUCGGGUUGUAAAGUACUUUCAGCGGGGAGGAAGGGAGUAAAGUUAAUACCUUUGCUCAUUGACGUUACCCGCAGAAGAAGCACCGGCUAACUCCGUGCCAGCAGCCGCGGUAAUACGGAGGGUGCAAGCGUUAAUCGGAAUUACUGGGCGUAAAGCGCACGCAGGCGGUUUGUUAAGUCAGAUGUGAAAUCCCCGGGCUCAACCUGGGAACUGCAGCUGAUACUGGCAAGCUUGAGUCUCGUAGAGGGGGGUAGAAUUCCAGGUGUAGCGGUGAAAUGCGUUGAGAUCUGGAGGAAUACCGGUGGCGAAGGCGGCCCCCUGGACGAAGACUGACGCUCAGGUGCGAAAGCGUGGGGAGCAAACAGGAUUAGAUACCCGUGUAGUC
This 464-nucleotide ribosomal RNA is filed under the name uncultured bacterium. RNAcentral describes it as "partial 16S ribosomal RNA". It matches the Rfam family "Bacterial small subunit ribosomal RNA", at positions 339 to 795 of the family's 1533-position model. The record is from RNAcentral.